This 520-nucleotide ribosomal RNA is filed under the name uncultured Bacteroidota bacterium. RNAcentral's name for it is "bacterial SSU rRNA". It matches the Rfam family "Bacterial small subunit ribosomal RNA", at positions 78 to 597 of the family's 1533-position model. The record is from RNAcentral. Lineage: Bacteria; Pseudomonadati; Bacteroidota.
GCUUGCUUCCGCCGACGACCGGCGCACGGGUGCGUAACGCGUAUACAAUCUACCUUAUACUGGGGUAUAGCCUUUAGAAAUGAAGAUUAACCCCCCAUAAUCUCUUAGAGUGGCAUCACUUCUAGAGUAAAGGUUACGGUAUAAGAUGAGUAUGCGUUCUAUUAGUUUGUUGGUGUGGUAACGGCACACCAAGACUACGAUAGAUAGGGGCCCUGAGAGGGGGAUCCCCCACACUGGUACUGAGACACGGACCAGACUCCUACGGGAGGCAGCAGUGAGGAAUAUUGGACAAUGGAGGCAACUCUGAUCCAGCCAUGCCGCGUGCAGGAAGACUGCCCUAUGGGUUGUAAACUGCUUUUAUACAGGAAGAAACACCUCUACGUGUAGAGGCUUGACGGUACUGUAAGAAUAAGGAUCGGCUAACUCCGUGCCAGCAGCCGCGGUAAUACGGAGGAUCCAAGCGUUAUCCGGAAUCAUUGGGUUUAAAGGGUCCGUAGGUGGAUAAUUAAGUCAGAGGUGA